RNAcentral lists this long non-coding RNA (13336 nucleotides) under Gossypium barbadense (sea-island cotton). Its description in RNAcentral is "long non-coding RNA (GBAR_LNC016855)". The record is from RNAcentral. Lineage: Eukaryota; Viridiplantae; Streptophyta; Magnoliopsida; Malvales; Malvaceae.
AGCAGACUAAAAAAAUAAAAUAAAAAAAGGCAGAGCCUCCAUCUCUUUCGGCCCUCCGAGCUCCGGCGCCAAACUCAACCCCCUCUUUCAGAUUUAGACCCGGUGAUGGCGCAGGUAAGUCCUCGUCCUUCCCUUUUUAUUAUUUAUUUCUUAUGUAGAAGAUAAAAUAAAAAUAAAAAUAAAAUGAAACAAACAAAAACGUAAAUAAAAAAAAUCACCUUCAAAAGUCUGUUUUGUUUUUUAUUUUAUUUCAAUAAUCGUAAAAGCAAAUGAAGAAGAAGUUCUUCCUUACAGUAGAUUCGGUUUUAACUGAAAAAAAGAAAAAUAAAAGAGAAAAAAAAAUUUCCCCCUAUUACAGUGAUUUCGCCCCCUCUACAUUUUACAAUAUACUAGGCUUUAUAGCCGAAAGAAAAAAUGAAAAAUCGAGGGAAAAUCUCCUCUUUUGCUACUGUUUUCCUAGUCUGCUUCCAUUUCUCUCUUUUGUUGCUUGUUUGCAGGUACACAGCAAGGUCAACUUGCCAUUUCGGUGAAAGGAGGGCUGGCGGUGGCAGACAUCGGGCGUGGUGCGCACUGAAGGCGCACAUGGCGUAGCAACGGCGCGAGGGGCGCCAGAAACCCUAGGGUUUCUGGCCAUUCCAAAAUUUUUUAAGGUUUUGGGCCACCGGGCUUUGUUUCUGUAAUUGGGCUUAAUUUAGUUUGUUGGGCUGGAGCAAAUUUGGGCUUUGUACAGCUGCCCCUCUUUGCUCGUUGUCGUGUAACGAGAAUAGAGCAAAGACCAAGAAAGACUAAAUUUGCCCUGUCUUGUCGAGUCUUGACUUCUUUGAUGCUCCUCUUUUUUCUAGUAGCUUCAUUCCAGUCCACUGUGUCUUGUUGCUUCAACCCACUUCUCUGCAUUUCAAAAGGAUCUGACUUGUAGCUUUAAUUUUCUUCGCCGCAACUUCAGGGGGACGAUGUUUGUGGUUUUAGUCUACUCCGCUGCAACGUCAGGGAGAUAGGACUUGAUGCGAUCUGCUCCACUACUGCUUAGGGAGAUAAGAUCUAUAGUUUUAAUCUGCUCCACUGUAACUUUAAGGAGAUAGGAUUUAUUUCUUUCGUCUGCUCCACUGUAACCUCAAAGAGAUAAGACCUGAUGCGAUCUACUCUACUGUAACUUCAGAGAGAUAAGAUCUGUGAUUUUAAUCCGCUUCACUGUAACUUCAAGGAGAUAGGAUUGAUUUCUUUCGUCUGCUCCACUACAACUUCAGGGAGAUAAGACUGGAUGUGAUCUGCUCUACUGCAACUUCAGAGAGAUAAGAUUUGUGGUUUUAAUCCACUCCACUUGUAACUUUAGGGAGACAGGAUUAUCGGCUUCAAUCUAAUGUGAUCUAUUCUACUGUAACUUCAAAGAAAUAAGAUCCUUUAUUUUAAUCCACUCCACUGUAACUUCAGAGAGUUAGGAUUACUAGCUUCAAUCUACUCCGUUAUAAUCUCAGGGAAAUAAGAUCUCUAGCUUCAAUCUGCUCCACUGUAACCUCAGGGAGAUAAGAUCUGAAAUUCUUCGGUCUACUCCACUGUAACCUCAGGGAGAUAAGACCUGAUGCGAUCUACUCUGCUGUAACUUUAGAGAGAUAAGAUCCUUUAUUUUAAUCCGCUCCACUGUAAUCUCAGGGAGAUAGGAUUGUGUCUUGGAUCUGCUCCAUUGUAAUCUCAAGGAGAUAAGAUCUCUUGCUUCAAUCUGUUCCACUGUAACAUCAGGGAGAUAAGAUCUGAAAUUCUUCGGUCUGCUCCACUGUAACCUCAGGGAGAUAAGACCUGAUGCGAUCUACUCUGCUGUAACUUAAGAGAGAUAAGAUCCUUUAUUUUAAUCCACCCCACUGUAAUCUCAGGGAGAUAAGACUACCAGCUUCAAUCUGCUCCGCUGUAAUCUCAGAGAGAUAAGAUCUGAAAUUCUUCGGUCUAUUCCCUGGGGAACACGACCUGUAUAAUGAACCUAAUUAUGCCUAAUGAUUAGGAUGGCAUGAUCAAAAUGAAUCAAAUGCUCCUAACUAGAAAUGUGUGAAUGGUGUUUGCAUGAAUGCAGAAUUUUAUUUUUCGUGAAUGAUCUCGCUUAGGUUAUCAUUACUCGAAGUUUAUUAAGGCUUUGUCAUCGAAGUGCUAUAACACAUUCCUUCUCGACUGGCAUUAUCUGAAAAAACAUUUAGCCAGGCUGCCCCCACUGUAAACCUCAAAGUUAUAUCCACUGGGACGCCAAAAUUUGUACCAUCAUUCACCCGCUGUAAUACAAGGGUAUAAAUAUGUGGCUUUUCCUCCGUCCUCUUUUAUCACAAUUCAGAGAUAUAGGAUCUGAACCGUUCUGGUUUCCUACACCAUUCUCAGGGUGUCGUACCAAAGUCUUAUACGCAAAUGAAGGCUCUCUUCUCCGAGAUAACCUCUUCCUAUUGCCUGAUGAUCAUUGCUUGCUUGUUCAUUUAAGCUUUGCCAUUGACACGACAUCUUGUCAUUUUGUUCAAUCAAUGCACUUAACAACAUAAAUCCAAAGAGAAAGUCUAAAUUCAAACACUUCCUUUUUCAGAUUUCCAACCUUUAAAAUUGAUGUGUUCUAAACAAUAGUCCUGUUUCAGGCUCCUAUAUUAUUUAGAAACUUUUUAGAGUAAUAUGCAAAACUUUCUUUGUGAAAGUUUUAUUAGUCCAUUAAUCAUUAUUCCAAUGCAACAUGCUUGCAAAAAGGGUCAUAACAAUGGAUAAGAAUAAAGUUGGUUCUGAGCAUAGCUCGAAAGAACAAGUUAUCCAAAAAUAGUAAAGAAGGAUGACAAAGAAAUUGAUUGGGAAUGUAUAUCUUGGAAAAUGUAUUCCAAGAACAACAAAUAAUAUGAGAAUUGGGUGCCUUAGAUAUCGCAGCUUGAACUUCUAUGUACAAACUUUCUGAAAACCAUUUUGAGUUUGACAUGUGUUUAGGAGAUCUACAGUGCUUUGUCGAUGCCCCAAGAUGUCGCUUAUCCUUUCCUGUUGAUUCAGGCAUAGCAAGAUCACCACAUGCCCCAAUAUGAUCAAAAUUUGAAUCGUUCUGAUCACUUUAUGCCCCCAUUCCAAUUAAUAUUUGAGCCGCCAUUUUCGGGUUUUCAACUCAAAUCCCCUUUGGCCUAAGGCGCCCUUUCCGGGUUUUCCCCUUAGCCUCUCCAUUUUUCAUUUUCAUUUUUCAUUUUUCAUUCUCAUUUUUUUUUGACUCAGAGUGCCCUUUGCGGGUUUUCACCUUGGUCCUUUCUCCUUCUUUAAACGAAGUAUUUUUUGACUGGAUCUGAGUUUAUAGGACUAGCAAUCUCACUUAGGAUCAGUGCUCUUCUGAAGAAUGUCUUCUUUACAACGUAAGGACAUUCCUGGUUUGGCAUUCAUUUCCCCUUGGAAUCUUUUUGGAGAGAAAUGGUCUUUUUUGACAUCCAACCCUCUCGUGGAAUUUUCUGAGAUGACACUGUUCAUUAUGGGCUCGUAUCAUUUUUUUCUGGUACAUCUGACCCUGAAGAAUAGCUUUUAACCUUUUUCCUAGGUUCAACUGAUUGCAUCGCGAUUGGAUCCAUUAUGCUUCAUCCAAUUCUAGCUCAACUAAUACCCAGAGAGAAAGGAUUUCAAUAGGUAAAACUACCUAAACCCCGCAAACCAAAGCGAAAGGUAUUACCCCGGUACAGAUGUUCGACAAACAAUGAGGGCAAAUGGUAAUUUCUAAUGCCAGUCCUUGUUCACCUCUAGGUAAUUCAGUGACAAAACGUGGUGUCUGCUUCUGAAUUGAUUUCAGACCUCAGUUAUUGUGCUAUCAUUUAAGUUCAAUGCAUUUUUCAAUACCAUCCUCUCUGAAAUUCUGUAUCGGUAUAGGAUGACCUUGAUCCAUGAAGUAGCCUCAUUAGAAGUCUUCGAUAAUAGUGAUGUCCAUGCCCUAUUUUGCUCAAAAAUUGAGUCGCCCUUUUUCGGGUUUUCAACUCAAAACCUCAUUUGGUCACAAAGUGCCCCUUGCGGGUUUUCGCUUUGGCCUCUCCUUUUCUUUUUCAUUCUGAUUUUUUCAUCUAGAUUUCUCUUUUUUCAUUCUUCUUUCUUUUUCUCAUUUUUAUUUUGAUCUUGAUUUUGAUUUUUUCUUCUUUCUUCUUUUUGUUUUAUUAUUUUUGAUUUUUGAUUUUCUUCAUUUUCAUUUUGACUUUGAUUUUGAUUUUUCCUUUUCUUCCCUUUUUUGAUCUGAGCCUUUUGGGGUGUAACUACGACAGAAAACUUUGGAUCUUCCUCUUUAGUCAGGAUGGACCCAACAACAACUUGAAGAGGUAGAAAUUCGACUUCAAAUGGGCAAAGCUAUGCUGACUCCACGAGAAAGGCAUUGCCCCGACAAAGAAUUACAUCGUUCAUACUGUAAAUUUCUAACAUCGUGCUGUUGUGCAGAUUUCAUUAUUGGCGUUUAACCCGGGGCAUAUCCUGGUAUGAUCAUACGAAGACAUCUUUGAACCCUAGAGGUCACUCAAUAAGGUGUUGCUUCGUCUCUGCGGUCAGGUCAAUUCUAAUCUUUACCACACUCACAAUUUCUAAUGAUUCUUUGUGAGGUAGGAUCUAUCUAUCCUCUUAUUCAACCAUCCUUAACAAGUCAGGAGAUAAACUACAAUCUUUGUCAUUUUCAAAGCCCUGAGAUCCCUCUGAACACAUGCCUCGCUCAAAAGGAAAAUCUUGGUCUGUAGCAGAGUCAUUCACGUCAUUGAUAUCCAGGGACUCAUAAUAAGUACCAAAGAAUAUACAAAAGAAAGUAUAAAUUUAUGAAUAAUUAUUUAUACAAUAUGAUUAUGAAUGAAUUGUACGGCCCAUUUUCUGCCCGGGCCCAAAUCAAACCCAAACAAACCCAAAAAUUACAAAGGACUCAGGGCCCAAUAAGCCCAAAACCUUAACUAGUUUCCGCAAAAAAUCAGAAACCUAGAAACCCUAGCUACUGCCUUGCGCCACACCCUCUGCCGUCACCCACGUGCCUCCGUAGCUUGUUUGUCGCCCGAGGUCUGCCACCGUUUGUCAGCCUUGCACUAAAACGGCAAAUACUUGCCUCGUUGACUCAUGGCCUGCAAACAAAACAACAGCAACAGUAGCAGUGAUAAAAAUAGAACACAAAAUAGAAUAGACUUUUGUUUUUAGGUUAUUAUCCUUUUAUUUGGCUAUAAAAGCCAUUAAAAUCUGUAAAGGAGGGGGGACGGAUCUUUAUGUUUGUAAAAAGGGGGGAUUUCCUUUUGAAAAAGCAAAAAAAAAAAAACAAAGAGAAAGAGAAAUAAAAACGGAGAAAAGGUUUUAGUUUCCAAAUCUUUUUUGUUCAUUGUUAUUUAUUUUAUUUAUUUUUUUAUUUUGAUUUGUGUAAAAUAUAUAUGUAUAUACACAUAUAAAAAAAAGAAGGAAAAAUAGUACCUUUCUAGAUUUUCCGGCCACCGUGUAUGGUGGCCGGCGCGACAGCGUCGACUGCGAAGGAUUGCCGGAACCCAUGGCCGGACCUGGGGCUUGAGAGAAAAGGAGAGAGCUCUCUCUCUGUUUUUUUUUAAAUAAUGAAACUGAUUUGUUUUUUGGUUUUUUUUAAUAUUUAUACUAAAUAUGAAACGACGUCGUUUUGGUGGGGAGGAUCCGCGUGUUGACCCGACCCGACCGCCUAGGAUCCGCUUUUUUCUAGCGCAUGGGUUAUUUGCACCAUAGGUCCUCCCUCCUUUGCGGCGUAUUCAAUGCAGUUUUUUUUAUAUUUGCAAUUUUGGCAUCGAAUUUUGCUUCUGUUUCAGUUUGGUCCUUAGACCAUGCGCUUUGACUUCGUUGGAACAGCGUCGUUUAAUCAACAGGGGUUAUUUUCCUAUUCGGUCCUCUGCUUUUUAUCCGUGUUAUAAUUUAGUCUUUUUUGUCUCUUUUAUCUUUAAUUACGGCCCUAAAAUUUUGUUUUCUUUUCGAUUUGAUCCUAAAUCGACUACUAUACUUAUUCUCCCCAUUAAAUCAAAUAUUUUAGUAUUAUUAUAUAGUAUUAUUAUUUCUUGUUGAUAUUAUUGUCUUUAUUUCAUUUGUGUAUUUUUUUUCUUCUUUUUUCAUUUUUUAAUUUUUUUUAUGUCUAAAAGAUUAUUAUAUUUGUAUAUGUAUCUACGUAUAGAAAAAAUAUCAUAAGUAGGCCUUACUUCCUUUUUUACAUUUAUGCGUGUAUAUUAUUUCUAUAUAUAUUAUGAUUUACUUAUAUAUUUACAUAUUUAUAUGCCAUUUUUAAUUUUCAUAUACAUAUAUAUAUACCUUAUUAUAAAUAUCUUUAUAUCUUAUUAUGUAUAUAUAUCUAUAGCUCUUUUUAAAUAUUUUCUAGCUUGUAUAUAUACAUACGUUUUGCUAUAUAUAUGUCUAGCUCCAUUAAACAUUUAUAUAUAUACGCCUAUAAACUUUUAUUUUAUUUUAUUUUAUUUUAUUUUAUAUAUAUACAUAUGUUCUUCUUAUUUUUAUUUUUACGUAUAUACACACAUAUAUAUCUUUUAUAUUUUUAUAGCCUUAUUCAUUUCUUUAUUUAUAUUUUCAUUAUUAUUUUGAAUGAAUAUUUUAAUUUUAUUUCCUUAUAUGCAUUGUUAUUUUGUAUGUUAUUGGUUUAUCCUUUUAUCUAAUUUAUUUUCAUUGCUAUUACUCAUAUUAUUUAUGCUACAUCAUCGUAUUCAUUUUUGUUUUGUUCACAUAUCGACAUUGUGUUUUAUUUCGUGUUAGAUUAAUUUUAUUCGAUGUAUAAAUUAUGAUUUUUUAAAUAAGCAAAAUCUCGUAUUUAGAUUCGAGAAGGUCGUACCCUAACUUACUGGGUUUCGAUUUUCAUAAUAAAUCUAAAUACACGAAUUUUUUCAAACUCAAGUUUCAAACAAUCUCGGGAAUUAAGAAAAAAUCGUGUCCUAACUUACUGGGCAUGUUCCCUUUUCUAAACCCGAGAUAAUUAAAUAUCUUUUAAAUAAGUAAAUUUUGCCAUUCAUUCGCAUAUCGGGAAUUCGAGACAUUGUGUCCUGACUUAUUGGAUAUGAUGCUUUCUUUCUCGAUUAACGUGGAACGUGCCCCUUUUCCCAAAAUUUUUAACAUUUUAAUACAAGGAUCGUAUUUUUAAAUUUAUUUAAAGUUUUUAGUUUUUCGACACUAAGACAUUAAGUAAUCAACUAGGUACCAAUUUUGGGCGUAUCGAGGGUGCUAAUCCUACCUCGUGCGUAACCGACUCCCGAACCUGUUUUUCUGAAUUUCGUGGACCAAACUUGUUGUUUUAAUAAAAUCAAACCAUUUAUUAAAAACAACCACUUUUCGAGGUGAUCCAAUCACACCUCAUUAAAAAGGAUUGGUGGCGACUCCCGUUUCAUUUUUCAAAACCCAAGUCGACCCCGUUUUCAUCCAAAAAAUGGUGUCAACAUGAAUGAUGUGGAAGAAAAUCUAAAAGAAUGAAAUAAUCAGAAAUAAUUAUUCAAAAAGAAUGAAAGAAUAUUGGCUCAAAAAGGAAUGCAAAGAUGUAUUUUAUUAGAAUAAUGACGUUCAGACAUUAGCCUAUUUCACAAAGGAAUUUCUAUCGCUUUAGGCUAAAAACAACAAAAAUGUUCUGAGCAUUACUCUAAAUAAGCCUUGAUAAAUACAGGAAUUUCUUCCGCAGUUUAAUUAUUUAGAACACUCUAAAUUUAUAAGGGCAGGUAUCUAACAAGGUCCCUUUUCCUUUGUGUUUUCAUGUAUGCCAUUGGUGUGAACACUUGCCAACAUUGCUUCAUACAUCUCAUUCAUCCCGUUGUCAACAUGAUUGGGUAGAUGGUUUUUUGCACUAGACAAAUCACCCAACUUGACAAUACCCAUGUUGAUGAAUUUUUCGACUAGCUUCUUGAAGGCAAUGCAAUUCUCUAUUGAAUGCCCCGUAACUCUCGCAUGGUAGUCACAUUGUGCGUUCAUGUCAUACCAUUUGGGAUACGAGGGUUGUAUGGGUUUUAAGUAAUGAGGAGCAACAACAUGCGCAUCGAACAAGCUUUGAUACAGCUCCUUAUAUGACAUCGAAAUUGGUGUGAACUGGAGCUUCUCAGUACCUGGUUUCACUCCAGAUUCUUGCUUUAAAGGACUUUGAUGUCUGCUGGUUUUUGUCUUUGGCCGGCCCAUAAUGAUUGGUUUUGAGUGGCCCUUGUUAUAUCUGCCUGCAUUAUCCCCUUUAUUCCCCUUCUUCCCUAGGGCCUUUGUAGUAUCUGGGUAUUCUAUCCUCAUCUUCUUUAUUUCGGCUAGAUUAGCAACAGGAUUAGCUAAAUCAUUCCUCAAAUUGGAUCCUAAGCCUGUCAGGCAAUUCACUGGUGUCGAUGUACCAGUCUGAUAAUAUUGGGAUCCGAUAAUAAAAAGUGUUUCUUGUGGACGCCCAUCUGGCUGAAUCUGGACACUUGUCAGAGUACAAUCUAAGGAAUAGACAAGAUCCUCAUUAUCAACCCCAAAGUAAACCACCGGGUCUUUGACUUUCCAGCUAGCAAUCGGUUGAACUGGUUUAUCAUAGUUCUCCGUAAUUCUAGCAUCUGAUCUCUCAUCUCCUGUUGAAAUUCAGUCAAAUGCUCAUGCAUCUGAAUCUGCAUUCGCUCUAAUUUUUCCAACCUUCGUUCCAUUUCUCUAGUCUUUGCUUGGAUGUUGUAAGGGUGUUUGGUUGGUUGAUUUUCCAGGUUAGCUGAAAUAAAUUUACUCGUUUAGACUCUUUCAAUGGAUUUUAAUGCAUGUAAUGCAAUGUAAUGCAAAUACAUGAAAUGAAUGCCUAAAGUGACGUUGAUUCUGAUUCAAUUACAUUUAGGAAACUUUUCUAGAAAGCAAAUUCCCUUAUAUAAAACGGAUACAUGUACGGCCUCACCCUCAUAUUCCAAGAAACAACAUCGGUCUUUUUCUUCACCCGCAUGUUUGAGGUAAUCUCGCUAAUAGAUGUCAUUGCUAGCUCAUUCUCUUGAUCUUGGUUGCAAUCCAUCACCUGCCCGUCCUCUUAAGGCUCGUCCGCCUCUUUAAGGGGGUGGAAUGUUGAAGGCUCUCAGACAAUUACCUUGAAUCCUCAAGCCACGAAGUAGGAUCACGAACUCUUCCAUCGCCAUUCUUGUGUUUCUCAUAAUAUAUUCGGGGAGUCGUAUUGUUUUCCACUUUAUCAAGAAAUUCGUAUUCCAUGACAAGCUUUCUAAUUUAGUAAUCGAACAUGAAUCAAUAUCUCUUUCCUAAGAUGCAAAUACAAUGUAAUGCAAUCAUAAUCAAAACACAACAAGAAGGGUUAGAACAAAACAUAAGCAAGCACGGAAAACAAAAAGUACCUAAUCAGGUAAAUACUAGGGAUUUGGAGUGGCUCUACCUAGGUUAAGUUCCUAAGUCCACUAUAUGAGGGUUGGUUCUAAAGAUAAGGUACCCGAACCAGCAGAUUCCUCGAUCUUCACCCAUUAUAGGCUCAUACAGACCGAGUUCAGUUCAGGGGAAUACAUUUCCCUAUGGCUGCACGGAGAUGAAAAUCUCACGAAGACAUAGGUACGAAUGUAUCCCGGAAGUGAUCCACUAUCCUGCACGGAGGUGAAAACCUCACGAAGGACUAGUCUCUCACUCCCACUUAAAAGGGUGUGACCAACGGUCAUGCAAUGCAAUGUGCAGAAAGAUACCAAAAUUUAAACAAACAGAGCAAUUAUAAACCACAAUAAUGAAAAUUGUAAUAAAGAUCGAUGAAAUGCAAUGAAAGGAUCGUAAAUUUAAACCAAAUUUUCAAUUUUCGACAAAAAGAUAACAAAUAAUCAACUCGUGGCUUGACUCUCUUAUUUAAAUUCCCCAGUGGAGUCGCCAAGCUGUUGACACCAUUUUUUUGAUAAAAACGGGGUCGACUUGGGUUUUGAAAAAUGAAACGGGAGUCGCCACCAAUCCUUUUUGAGGUGUGAUUGGAUCACCUUGAAAAGUGGUUGUUUUUAAUAAACAAUUUAAUUUUAUUAAAACAACGAUUUUGGUCUACGAAAUUCAGAAAAACGGGUUCGGGAGUCGGUUACGCACGAGGAAGGAUUAGCACCCUCGAUACGCCCAAAAAUUGGUACCUAGUUGAUUAUUUAAUGUCUUAAUGUCGAAAAGCUGAAAACUUUAAAGAAAUUUAAAAUACAAUCCUUAAAAAAAAAACUCGAAUGGCAUGGAUUAAAAUUCAAGAGAAUAUUUUGGCAAUUUGUCUAAACGAGAAAUCGAAACCCAGCACAUUAAGGCACGUUCCUCGAAUUUCCAAACGCAAAACAUUGCCUUAUUUUAAAAAUUUUUAAAAGGAUAUUUAGCUAUUUGGUUGAACGAGAAAAAUCGAAACCCAGCACAUUAGGGCACGUUUUCUCAAAUUUCCCAAACGCUAAAUAUUGCCUUAUUUAGAAAAACCUUCCUUUCGAUGUUUGGUGUUAAUAAGACAAUAACAAAUAUAACAAGUUAAGGAUAAAUGGUACAAACAAUCAUAAAAAAUGGAAUAAAUAAAUAUAAGAGAUGAAUCGAUCACUUGAUAACAAGUAAAUAAACAAAUAGAAUUAAAAUGUUCUUUUAAAAUAAUAAUGAACGUAUACGCAAACAAAUAAAUGAACAUCAAGUAACACGAAAAAUGAGAUGUGUGUUUCUAUAUACGUAUUUUAAAAUAAUAAAGUAUUUUAAAAUAUGUACAUUGUAAGAUAUAGGUAUAUAUACGUAUUAUAAAAUGUAUAGAUGUACGUAGUUUGAGAUUAUAAAAUAUAUGAGGAACAUAUGCAUAUAAAUAUAGAUAAAAGGUACGUAUAUUUAUAUUCAUGAAAAUAAAAUGUAUAUAGGUAUAUAUGGAGAUGUAUACAAAUUAUAAAAAUAUGAAAAUAAGUAUAUGUUUAUAUAAAAUAUUUACAUACAGAUAUAUUUUACAAAAUGUAUGCAUAUAUGUAAAAAUUUAAGAUGUAUAUAUAAAUUAUAUGAGAAUGUAAAAAUAUAAACGUGUAUUUAUUUAUAAAAAGGAAAAUGUACACAUGUGUAAAGUAUAAAGUAUAGAUGAUACAUAUUGAAGUAGGUAUAUUUAUACAUAUAUAUAAAUUUGAAAAAUUAUGUGUGUAUAUGUAUAUAAAAAUAUGAAAUGUCUAAAAUAUAAGAGUAUGUGUAUACAUGUAUAUUUAUAAUAAAGAUAAGAUCUAUAAGUAUAUAUAUAUGAAUAAAAAUUAUAGGCGUAUAUAUAUAUUAUAAAAAUGUAUGAUGGAUAUAGACAUAUAUAUGUAUGUGUAACAAACAUAUGUAUGUACAUAGCAAUAAUAAUAAUAAUAAUAAUAAUAAAAUAACGGGACUAAAUUGAAAACAAAACAAAAUCCCAGGGGAGAAACCAAAAAUAAAAUAAGGCCAAAGAUCAAUCCGUGACGUGCGCUGAGGGAGGGGGACCGAUUGGUCAAUUAUCCCUAGCCAUAUGCGUGUCGUUCCACGUGGGACUAAAAUGAAACAACUAUAAAAUUAUAUGGCUAAUUUAAAAUAAAAGAAAAGAAUGAAAAGGGGGCUAAUUGUAACGCACUGCAAAAGUGGAGGGACCGCGCGCGUAAAUAACCCAUUUCAUGCAAACACGCGGAUCCCCCCUGGAGCGGGUCGGGUCGCGCGCGGGUCAUGGAGGCUAAACGGCGCCGUUUAAUGUUUUUAUUCAAAACCCCUAAAAAAAACCUAGUUUAUUUCAGCAGACUAAAAAAAUAAAAUAAAAAAGGCAGAGCCUCCAUCUCUUUCGGCCCUCCGAGCUCCGGCGCCAAACUCAACCCCCUCUUUCCGAUUUAGACCCGACGAUGGCGCAGGUAAGUCCUCGUCCUUCCCUUUUUAUUAUUUAUUUCUUAUGUAGAAGAUAAAAUAAAAAUAAAAAUAAAAUGAAACAAACAAAAACGUAAAUAAAAAAAAUCACCUUCAAAAGUCUGUUUUGUUUUUUUUUAUUUCAAUAAUCGUAAAAGCAAAGGAAGAAGAAGUUCUUCCUUACAGUAGAUUCGGUUUUAACCGAAAAAAAGAAAAAUAAAAGAGAAAAAAAAAUUUCCCCCUAUUACAGUGAUUUCGCCCCCUCUACAUUUUACAAUAUACUAGGCUUUAUAGCCGAAAGAAAAAAUGAAAAAUCGAGGGAAAAUCUCCUCUUUUGCUACUGUUUUCCUAGUCUGCUUCCAUUUCUCUCUUUUGUUGCUUGUUUGCAGGUACACAGCAAGGUCAACUUGCCAUUUCGGUGAAAGGAGGGCUGGCGGUGGCAGACAUCGGGCGUGGUGCACGCUGAAGGCGCACAUGGCGUAGCAACGGCGCGAGGGGCGCCAGAAACCCUAGGGUUUCUGGCCAUUCCAAAAUUUUUAAGGUUUUGGGCCACCGGGCUUUGUUUCUGUAAUUGGGCUUAAUUUAGUUUGUUGGGCUGGAGCAAAUUUGGGCUUUGUACAGUAUUUAUUAUAUAUGGUUAAAUCGGUGUAUAACCUAUUGAAUAAGCGGACAAAAAAUUAGUGGUUUAAUCGAUUCAAUCAAUAGUUUGAUCUUGAAAACCAUGCCCGGCAUAGCAAAUCAACUGACUUGUCCUCUAGAAAUGAUCUCAACAUGGCUAGGCUUCCCUUGGGGUAGCAAAUCUACUAAGCUAGCCUAUGGAGAUUAUCUCAACGCGGCUAGACUUUUCCUAGCAUAGAGGAUCAACUAACUUGGCUUCUAAAGAUGAUGUCAACGUGGGCUUCUCCCAGCGUAGCGGAUCAACUAAGUUAGCCUCUCGGGAGAUGAUCAGGUUGAUCUCGGACUAUGGAGACUUACAAGGACGUCUGUAGAGAAAGGGAUAAUGUUAGCGGGCACCAGAGGACUUCCUUCCGAGGCAUACUCCAACUCAACUCAAUGAUCAGGUAUAACUUAAUGCAAGAAAAGAAGAAGUUUUGAAAAAGAGGGGUAGAAGAUGCUUUUCAAUUGCUAUGUAGUGAAGUAUAUGACUGGUCUUUCUGUGAAUGGCAGUGAAUCCUUCCAUUUAUAGCCAAUGGUGAAGUAACUUGGUGCCAUGUGACGUUUCAUCAUUAGCUUGGUGUUGAGGUAUCUUUCUGAGAUGCAUUGAACCUUGGUCAAGUGGUCUUGCAAGUGGGAACCAGGUCUUGGAGGGUCUUCCGUUUGGGGCCUUGCCUUGGGCCUAGCUUUCCUUGGAUUAGUCAUGUUGGGUGCUCUGGAGAUCAUCUUGAGGGUUUUGGUUGUCCGUUACCUUCUGCGAUCAACUUUUAUUUUCAUCUCAACAAGAACCAUAAAAUAUUUAAAGAUAUCAACUUUUUUAAAUAGUAAAUGACAUUUUUAAAAUUGUAAAUGUUAAUUAUCUUAAAGUUUGACCUUAUUUUAUUUUUUUAAUAAGAUAUGGACCAAAUUGAUUCAUUUAAUGGUAAAUGGACUAAUUUGAUAAAGAUCUUAUAAUAGAGGAACA